Molecule: ribosomal RNA, 474 nt
Filed under: uncultured bacterium
Lineage: Bacteria
Description: bacterial SSU rRNA
Rfam family: Bacterial small subunit ribosomal RNA
Source: RNAcentral
GACGAACGCUGGCGGCGUGCUUAAUACAUGCAAGUCGAACGGGGCCUAGCCGAUAGGUUUCACUUAUUGGCGAAAGCCUAGUGGCGGACGGGUGAGUAACGCGUGGGCAAUCUGCCCCUAAGUCCGGGAUAACAGAGCGAAAGUUCUGCUAAGACCGGAUAUGCUUCUUAGGUCGCAUGGCUUAGGGAGGAAAGGUUUACCGCUUAGGGAUGAGCCCGCGUCCCAUUAGCUAGUUGGUGAGGUAACGGCCCACCAAGGCGACGAUGGGUAGCCGGCCUGAGAGGGUGUACGGCCACACUGGGACUGAGACACGGCCCAGACUCCUACGGGAGGCAGCAGUAGGGAAUUUUCGGCAAUGGGCGGAAGCCUGACCGAGCAACGCCGCGUGAGGGAAGAAGGUCUUCGGAUCGUAAACCUUUGUCAUCGGGGACGAUGAUGACGGUACCCGAGGAGGAAGCCCCGGUAACGUACGUG